UACGUAGGGAGCAAGCGUUGUCCGGAAUCAUUGGGCGUAAAGCGCGCGUAGGUGGCCUCAUAAGUCCGCUGUGAAAGUCAAAGGCUCAACCUUUGAAAGCCGGUGGAUACUGUGAGGCUAGAGUACGGAAGAGGCGAGUGGAAUUCCUGGUGUAGCGGUGGAAUGCGCAGAUAUCAGGAGGAACACCAAUAGCGAAGGCAGCUCGCUGGGACGUUACUGACACUGAGGCGCGAAAGCGUGGGGAGCAAACAGG
This 253-nucleotide ribosomal RNA is filed under the name uncultured bacterium. RNAcentral's name for it is "partial 16S ribosomal RNA". It matches the Rfam family "Bacterial small subunit ribosomal RNA", at positions 524 to 776 of the family's 1533-position model. The record is from RNAcentral.